CUGGCCUGGGAGAGGAGGGCCAGCCAUGGUCUCCGCACACAAAGAAGUGACAGUCCUGAGCAGAGCCACUAGAAUGAGCAAGUGGAGAGCAAGUUAGAGUGAAGAGUGGAGGUGAGAGGAAGUGGGCUGCCUGCCAUCCUGAGAAAGAAAAGGGGAGCUGGCAGCCUAACCCAGCUCCCUCCAGAGAGCUCUCUGAUUAGAGCAAAAAAGCAAAACCUCACCAUCUCCUGCAAGCACUGGGAAAGCUCCCUUCAGAGUCAGGGCUGAAAAUUCACAGGACGCUUGCCGAGUGGGACUCCAGGUUUGAGAAAGUCUGAUUCCUGGGAGCACCGUGGGCAACUCAGUGCCUCCUCCUGGGCUCUGAUGUUCUCACCUGUAUCAGUGCAGUGGGAUAAAGACUCAGGUUCUCCAACCCCCAGCACAGUGCCUGUGGUCCAGGUGCCAGGUGUCUGACCUGAGAGGAUGCUCCUCCAUCAUCCUUCCUGGGGAGCACAAUUAAAGAAGAGAGAAAAAGAAGCACAGAAAUUCAGAGAAGAAUUUUCCCCAAAGCCCAAGGCAUUUUAGAUUUGCUCUAUUUCUGUAAGUAUUUAUUAAGUAACUGUCUAAUUCUUAUUAUUAUGGUGGCUCCUGAAAGGGUACAGAGGAAAGAGAACCAGCAAUGCCUGUCCUUGGAAUUUGCAGUCUAGAAGGAGAGAAGCAUUUACUGAG
RNAcentral lists this long non-coding RNA (708 nucleotides) under Heterocephalus glaber (naked mole-rat). RNAcentral describes it as "lncRNA (ENSHGLG00100049197.1)". The record is from RNAcentral. Lineage: Eukaryota; Metazoa; Chordata; Mammalia; Rodentia; Bathyergidae.